GACAUACUCCCUCCGUCCGGAAAUACGUGUCCUAAGAAUGGUUGUAUUUGGACUUGUUUUAGUUAUAGAUAUAUCCAUUUUAUUUAUUUUUAGGACAAGUAUUUCCGGACGGAGGGAGUAUGAU
Molecule: non-coding RNA, 124 nt
Organism: Triticum aestivum (bread wheat)
Lineage: Eukaryota; Viridiplantae; Streptophyta; Magnoliopsida; Poales; Poaceae
Source: Rfam